UCUCCGUUGGCGAACCAGCGGAGGGAUCAUUAUCGAGUUUACAACUCCCAAACCCCUGUGAACCAUACCAUCGUUGCUUCGGCGGGAUCGUCCCGGCGCCUCUGGCCCGGACCCAGGCGCCCGCCGGAGACCCAAACUCUUGACUUUUAGAGAUUUCUUCUGAGUAACACAAGUAAAUAAAUUAAAACUUUUAACAACGGAUCUCUUGGUUCUG
This 214-nucleotide unclassified non-coding RNA is filed under the name plant metagenome. RNAcentral's name for it is "partial contains small subunit ribosomal RNA, internal transcribed spacer 1, and 5.8S ribosomal RNA". The record is from RNAcentral.